ACAGUCACAUCACGUUGCAGCAGCGUUUCUCGUACGAUCACUGAAGUUAAGCAACGUCGAGCCUGGCCAAUACCUAAAUGGGUGACCGCUUGUGAAUGCCAGGUGGU
This is a non-coding RNA of Acanthosepion pharaonis, 107 nucleotides long. Lineage: Eukaryota; Metazoa; Mollusca; Cephalopoda; Sepiida; Sepiidae. The record is from the annotation of a GenBank genome assembly.